RNAcentral lists this ribosomal RNA (277 nucleotides) under uncultured prokaryote. RNAcentral describes it as "partial 16S ribosomal RNA". It matches the Rfam family "Bacterial small subunit ribosomal RNA", at positions 524 to 800 of the family's 1533-position model. The record is from RNAcentral.
GACGUAGGAGGCAAGCGUUAUCCGGAUUUAUUGGGCGUAAAGGGCAAGUAGGCGGUUCUCAAAGUUGGGCGUGACAUCUCCCGGCUCAACCGGGAGGGUGCGUUCAAAACUAGAGGACUAGAGGGCAGGAGAGGGAAGUGGAAUUCCCAGUGUAGUGGUGGAAUGCUCAGAUAUUGGGAAGAACACCAGUGGCGAAGGCGGCUUCCUGGCCUGCACCUGACGCUGAGAGGCGAAAGCUAGGGUAGCAAACGGGAUUAGAUACCCGCGUAGUCCCUGA